This 65-nucleotide transfer RNA is filed under the name Cavia porcellus (domestic guinea pig). It matches the Rfam family "tRNA". Rfam says of the family: Transfer RNA (tRNA) molecules are approximately 80 nucleotides in length. Their secondary structure includes four short double-helical elements and three loops (D, anti-codon, and T loops). The record is from Rfam by way of RNAcentral. Lineage: Eukaryota; Metazoa; Chordata; Mammalia; Rodentia; Caviidae.
GGGGAUUUAGCUCAGCGGCAUAAAGUGCCUGCCUUGCAAGCAGGCAGUCAUGAGUUCAAUCCCUG